AGCAUGUAAUGAAAUGUUGAGAAAUAUCCAACAUUUGAAGGAUUUUCCUCCUCUCCUUCAUAUUAUUACCACACUACAUCCAGCCUACGCAGAAUGUAUGGAGUACAGAGAUAGAAGGCUCAUGAACCCACCCCUCAGAGCUAAGACAUAGACAACUACUUAAAACAUGUCAAGAGCUGGAAAGCAAGAGGCCUAACCCAGUAAACAAAAUGGACAGUCAGAGAUCAGCACUCACAGAGCUGAGGUAUCAAUGAGAUACCAACCAAUGACCAAGCAGAAAUCAGAACCAAAUGGCAAAAUAGACACAAGCACUGAAGAAAAAGCCUAAAAACUGAUCAAUGGGUGAAGUCAUGGGCCAUGUGGAUUAAACAGCAAGCCAAGAAGACUAAACUGCUAAGCCAAAGAUCAGGAUCAAAGCCAAAGUAAAGAGUUCAUAGGAGCACAUCAGAACCAGAAAGACUUUUUAAAAAAUAGACAGGGGAUUCAGGGCUAAACCAUGUGCUACAGAACUACACAGGCAAGUGCUGAAGGCAACACUUACAGCUCACUACAGAGGACAAAUAUGCAGACAUGAAGCAGUUCCCAGUUCAACUCCCAUGGUACCACAACUUAUAGCCGUCCUGACUUAUGACCAAUUCGAGUUACGACCAGCUCCGGCCGCAAAAUUUUGCAUUG
Pogona vitticeps (central bearded dragon) is the source of this 675-nucleotide long non-coding RNA. RefSeq lists it as uncharacterized. NCBI's taxonomy places the organism in Eukaryota, Metazoa, Chordata, Lepidosauria, Squamata, Agamidae. The record is from RefSeq and is a predicted model, not a curated record.